AGAAUCAACGCUGGCGGCGUGCCUAACACAUGCAAGUCGAACGAGAAAGGGUAGCAAUACCUGAGUAAAGUGGCGCACGGGUGAGUAACACGUGACUAACCUACCUUUUAGUGGGGGAUAACCUAGGGAAACCUGGGCUAAUACCGCAUAAUACCUACGGGUCAAAGCAGCAAUGCGCUGAAUGAGGGGGUCGCGGUCGAUUAGUUAGUUGGCAGGGUAAUGGCCUACCAAGACUGUGAUCGAUAUCCGGCCUGAGAGGGCGCACGGACACACUGGAACUGAAACACGGUCCAGACUCCUACGGGAGGCAGCAGUGGGGAAUUUUGCGCAAUGGGGGAAACCCUGACGCAGCAACGCCGCGUGGAGGAUGAAGUCCCUUGGGACGUAAACUCCUUUCGAUCGGGACGAUAAUGACGGUACCGGAAGAAGAACGCCCCGGCUAACUUCGUGCCAGCAGCCGC
RNAcentral lists this ribosomal RNA (461 nucleotides) under uncultured bacterium. Its description in RNAcentral is "SSU rRNA". It matches the Rfam family "Bacterial small subunit ribosomal RNA", at positions 26 to 518 of the family's 1533-position model. The record is from RNAcentral.